GAGAGAAGCAGCGAGAGGGAGGACUGUAUUAUUGCUUAGAAUCAGAGGAGGGGUUAUGGAUUGAUACAAAUAGUCUCCCCCGCCAAGCCAACCCCAGCACAGCCUUGAAUUAAUGUGUUGCUAUUUUUGGGAGCCCCGUGUUUCCAGGGGAGACCUAAUGACGCAAUGACGUCAAUGCGGGUCAAUCGCAGACUGGAGGAAUUGAGUGGCUUCCAUUUGGAGCUUUUGCAGUAUUUCCUACAGAAAGGACGGAAAACGAGUGCAAAAAUCGAAGUGUAUUUCCUCCAAGAAAAGAAAAGAAAAGAAAAAAGCCUCGAAAAUAGUAGGUAAAAAUUAAAAUGCAGAAAUGAAAAUUAUCCCGGUGCCUUCACGUCGCCCCCUUCGAGCAUCAACGAUAGUAAAGGAGCCGUGACCUAUUCCAGGCGCUCGCAUCUAGAAGCACUGAGAUGCUGGUCCAAUACUUUGAUGAUGAUAACCAUGAAUGUUCUGAGGAAUCAUAUUCUUUUCAGGUCUUUUUGCGGUCUGGGCUUGCUGUCGGAUGCCUAUCCAGGAAGCCCUUACCCCAAAAAGCAUCUGCAAGGGAUACUUACAACAGCAGAUUCUUGCUCAUGUUGAUGUUUAAGCAAACAAUGAAAGUGGCUGCAUUUGUAAAACUGUAACUUUUUCUCUUUCCUUAUUAAAGUUAAGCACUGUGUGUUGAA
Molecule: long non-coding RNA, 701 nt
Organism: Cyprinodon tularosa
Lineage: Eukaryota; Metazoa; Chordata; Actinopteri; Cyprinodontiformes; Cyprinodontidae
Exons: 3
Source: RefSeq, a predicted model, not a curated record